GACGAACGCUGGCGGCGUGCCUAAUACAUGCAAGUCGAACGCUUUUUCUUUCACCGGAGCUUGCUCCACCGAAAGAAAAAGAGUGGCGAACGGGUGAGUAACACGUGGGUAACCUGCCCAUCAGAAGGGGAUAACACUUGGAAACAGGUGCUAAUACCGUAUAACACUAUUUUCCGCAUGGAAGAAAGUUGAAAGGCGCUUUUGCGUCACUGAUGGAUGGACCCGCGGUGCAUUAGCUAGUUGGGGAGGUAACGGCUCAACAAGGCAACGAUGCAUAGCCGACCUGAGAGGGUGAUCGGCCACACUGGGACUGAGACACGGCCCAGACUCCUACGGGAGGCAGCAGUAGGGAAUCUUCGGCAAUGGACGAAAGUCUGACCGAGCAGCGCCGCGUGAGUGAAGAAGGUUUUCGGAUCGUAAAACUCUGUUGUUAGAGAAGAACAAGGAUGAGAGUAAAAUGUUCAUCCCUUGACGGUAUCUAACCAGAAAGCCACGGCUAACUACGUGCCAGCAGCCGCCGUAA
RNAcentral lists this ribosomal RNA (523 nucleotides) under uncultured bacterium. Its description in RNAcentral is "partial 16S ribosomal RNA". It matches the Rfam family "Bacterial small subunit ribosomal RNA", at positions 28 to 523 of the family's 1533-position model. The record is from RNAcentral.